AAGGUUACAAUACAAAACUAAAUGUUCUUUGUGCAUGCACCCCUUCAUAAAACUGGCAUAUGUGGGCACGAUAAAGUGUAGCUAGCAUGUCUAGGCUGGACAAUAGAAUGAGUCAAAAUUCCCCCAAGGAUGAAACAUGGCAAAAGAAAGGUUAGCUAAGCUGGAACACUAGCAUAUGAAUGGAAUUGAACAUUCCCAGGGUCUCUUCUGACUGGAGUGACGCUUAUAAUUCCAUUUAUGUAUCCCUUUUUAUUUUACCACUACAAUCUGUUCUUAGGAUAACUUGUGUAGAAAGUAAACAUCCGCACCUCGAUGGUGCCAAGUUUGAGUAUGUCUGCAUAACAAGGAAGUAGUUACAUGAGUAAUGUGUUGUGGUGUACAUUUUAACUACCAACGUGGGCAUUGCCAAAAACAGCGAAGCAGGCGGCGUGACUUAGAACAAUUUGAGUAGAACGGUCGGAAGGCGAGUUGGUGUCACGGUGCUCAGUAUAACUGUUUGGAGCCGGGAAAAUGUCCCAAAAUAAGGCCUGUUUUUUUCGUGAUUACUUCAAAACUACGGCAGACAGCUGGGACAUUAUGAAACUGGGCUCCAUGGCGGAUGCUAUUAACUAGUUUUAUCAGAAAAAGUAUUCGUGUCUUGUAAUAUGCACAUUGUAAACAUAGAUGGUUUACUAAUUGCAGUUUCUUCAUUUUGUGAUAGGUCACGUUGCAAUUAUGUAUAUGGAAAGGUCACGUUGCAAUUAUGUAUAUGGAAAGGUGCACGUUGCAAUUAUGUAUAUGGAAAGGUGCACAAUAAACCAAAUCUGAUAUGACCGUCUUCUCCAUAAGUAAACUAAAGUUGAUGCAUUGACGCGACACUGAAAUCUAUCUAGCUUAGUAUCCUGAUUCAGUGACUGUUUUGGUUACUAGUAGCUAGUUAGCCAACUUUACCAGAUGUUCGAAGCAACAUCACAUUCAUCUUCUACGACCGGGUUGAACUAGCUACCUAAGUAAAUGUACUUUAAAAUAAGAUAGCAAAUUACGUAGCAUAUCCAGCUAGGUAGCUAGCAUUAGCUCGAUCGCUUACGACAGCCCCGGAUCUCAAGCAGGGUAAACUAGUUUAAUGAAAAUAGCACACGCCUCACCUUGGUACAAUACUUGCGUAGCUGGUGCUGUCUACACUUCUAUCAGAUAUCGUUUGUCAUGAAAGCCGCCAGAUGUUUGAAUUUGAAUUUCAACCGGACGUUGUGGCGGGUGAAAGCUGAUUUCCUAUAGACUAAAGGGGAAGUGGAACAACGUUUUUCAUUUCCGCUCCCUGAAAUAAAUAAGAUGUUGUCUAUGACCCCUGUUCUUUCCUUGAGCAAUUAUUAUAAAAUAAAAAAAGAUGCAUAAUAGCAUCAUAUCUCAGAAUGAUUUCCUUUGAAAGCCUGGGAAAACGCUUGGGCUUCUUCUGGAUGAUCUGGACAUGCUAUACAACCCCAAAAUAUGUAUUACCGCCACCAACUGGACGACGUUGAAAAAAACAAGGUAUCAAUCACUC
Long non-coding RNA from Oncorhynchus keta (chum salmon), 1519 nucleotides. RefSeq lists it as uncharacterized. Lineage: Eukaryota; Metazoa; Chordata; Actinopteri; Salmoniformes; Salmonidae. The transcript has 3 exons. The record is from RefSeq and is a predicted model, not a curated record.